GAGAGGAAAGCACAGAUUGGGUGUGUAGCUAGCUUGAAACUAGAAGGUGAAGGUUCAAAUCCUUCAACUCUUG
Molecule: transfer RNA, 73 nt
Filed under: Pachydactylus punctatus
Lineage: Eukaryota; Metazoa; Chordata; Lepidosauria; Squamata; Gekkonidae
Description: tRNA-Ser
Rfam family: tRNA
About the family: Transfer RNA (tRNA) molecules are approximately 80 nucleotides in length. Their secondary structure includes four short double-helical elements and three loops (D, anti-codon, and T loops).
Source: RNAcentral